RNAcentral lists this ribosomal RNA (253 nucleotides) under uncultured bacterium. Its description in RNAcentral is "partial 16S ribosomal RNA". It matches the Rfam family "Bacterial small subunit ribosomal RNA", at positions 524 to 776 of the family's 1533-position model. The record is from RNAcentral.
GACGUAGGAGGCGAGCGUUGUCCGGAUUCAUUGGGCGUAAAGAGCACGCAGGCGGUUUGGCAAGUCGGACGUGAAAAUCCGGGGCUCAACCCCGGACCUGCAUCCGAAACUGCCCGACUAGAGGUAGGUAGGGGAGAUCGGAAUUCCUGGUGUAGCGGUGAAAUGCGCAGAUAUCAGGAGGAACACCGGUGGUGAAGGCGGGUCUCUGGGCCGUAACUGACGCUGAGGAGCGAAAGCGUGGGGAGCGAACAGG